UACGUAGGGUGCAAGCGUUAAUCGGAAUUACUGGGCGUAAAGCGUGCGCAGGCGGUUUUGUAAGCCAGAUGUGAAAUCCCCGGGCUUAACCUGGGAAUGGCAUUUGGGACUGCAAGGCUGGAGUGCGGCAGAGGAGACUGGAAUUCCUGGUGUAGCAGUGAAAUGCGUAGAUAUCAGGAGGAACACCGAUGGCGAAGGCAGCUCGCUGGGACGGUACUGACGCUGAGGCGCGAAAGCGUGGGGAGCAAACAGG
RNAcentral lists this ribosomal RNA (253 nucleotides) under uncultured bacterium. Its description in RNAcentral is "partial 16S ribosomal RNA". It matches the Rfam family "Bacterial small subunit ribosomal RNA", at positions 524 to 776 of the family's 1533-position model. The record is from RNAcentral.